This 440-nucleotide ribosomal RNA is filed under the name uncultured bacterium. RNAcentral's name for it is "partial 16S ribosomal RNA". It matches the Rfam family "Bacterial small subunit ribosomal RNA", at positions 338 to 795 of the family's 1533-position model. The record is from RNAcentral.
CCUACGGGUGGCAGCAGUAGGGAAUAUUGCUCAAUGGGGGAAACCCUGAAGCAGCAACGCCGCGUGGAGGAUGAAGGUUUUCGGAUUGUAAACUCCUUUUGUUAGAGAAGAUAAUGACGGUAUCUAACGAAUAAGCACCGGCUAACUCCGUGCCAGCAGCCGCGGUAAUACGGAGGGUGCAAGCGGUACUCGGAAUCACUGGGCGUAAAGAGCGCGUAGGCGGGAUAGCAAGUCAGAUGUGAAAUCCUAGGGCUUAACCAUAGAACUGCAUUUGAAACUGUUAUUCUAGAGUAUGGGAGGGGUAGGUGGAAUUCUUGGUGUAGGGGUAAAAUCCGUAGAGAUCAAGAGGAAUACUCAUUGCGAAGGCGACCUGCUAGAACAUAACUGACGCUGAUGCGCGAAAGCGUGGGGAGCAAACAGGAUUAGAUACCCCAGUAGUC